UACGGGGGGAGCAAGCGUUGUUCGGAUUUACUGGGCGUAAAGGGCGCGUAGGCGGCCACCGCAGGUCGGCUGUGAAAUCUCCGGGCUUAACUCGGAAAGGUCAGCCGAUACUGCGGGGCUAGAGUGCAGAAGGGGCAACUGGAAUUCUCGGUGUAGCGGUGAAAUGCGUAGAUAUCGAGAGGAACACCUGCGGCGAAGGCGGGUUGCUGGGCUGACACUGACGCUGAUUGUGCGAAAGCUAGGGGAGCGAACGGG
RNAcentral lists this ribosomal RNA (255 nucleotides) under uncultured bacterium. Its description in RNAcentral is "partial 16S ribosomal RNA". It matches the Rfam family "Bacterial small subunit ribosomal RNA", at positions 524 to 776 of the family's 1533-position model. The record is from RNAcentral.